UCCCCAGGUACUCGUGAGUCCUUCCCUCCCAGACCCAGGGCACUUGGAAACCCAACCACUGUGAGCUGUGCCCUAUGGCAGCCCUUCACUGCUGUGUCUCCUGCAGGGGAUCUCCUGGCUCCUGCUCUCCAAAUCAACUCAACUUCUGCUCAUCCGGGUACCAGAGUUGUGCUCCAGUGUAUUCUCCCUAUGGUGUCACCUGUAAUACGAUUCAUCUUCUGCAAGGAUGGGAAGGAGCUGUACAGCCAGAAAGCCCAUCAAAGGCAGCUGAGCUACUCCGUGGUCCUGAACAUCCCAUCAAAAAUCACAGGAAUACAUGUAUUUACAUGUGGAUACCAGGCGUUAAAUGAGAAGAAACAUAUGAGGAGCUCUGCCCUCAGUGCUGGCCAAAUCCUGGAUGUCCCUGGCAAUGUGGUGAGUUCCCCAGCAAAUCCAUCAUCCCCAGCCCCAUAUGCCUUGAUCCCGCACGCCCUCCCCAAAACCAUGGCGCUGGCAGUGGCGGCCGUCAGCCUCGUCCUCCUGGCUGCAGGCAGCUGGUUUGCCAUCAGGAAAGGUGCGUGCAGAGGGAGAUGCCCAAGGCAGCAGCACGUUGACAGCCCACAGAUUGAAACCACAGACCAUGAUGAAGUCACAUACUCCACCAUCGCCCAUGUUCGACGAGACAGGGUGAGUCGUGGCACAGCUGUGCACAGCUCCUUUCUGCACUCCUGCAGCCUGGUGCACGCACAUUGUGCAGGGCUCACAGUCACACCUGAAGUAACAGGGUUUCUUUUCUCCCUAAAGCCUCGUCCUGUGCAGCACAUGAGCGACACCACGACGUAUGCCACGGUGAUCUGCACCCAGACCUGAUAGAGCUGCCACAGGGCAAGGGCACAGGAGCCUUGUCCACAGCUGCCUUUGCUCUCCUGUAGAGUUCUUGUGCAGUCAUAUCAUGGGGCUGAGGGUUCCACUUUGGGCUUCUCUGGGGUUUUCUGUCACAGGGAAGGGCUGUGUGUGUCUAGCCAAGAGGAUGAAGGACUCAUAUGUCUUUUAUUAAUAAAUUAAUACCUCUAAAAUAUAUCA
This 1062-nucleotide long non-coding RNA is filed under the name Anas platyrhynchos platyrhynchos (common mallard). RNAcentral describes it as "lncRNA (ENSAPLG00000019712.1)". The record is from RNAcentral. Lineage: Eukaryota; Metazoa; Chordata; Aves; Anseriformes; Anatidae.